GCACGGGCGUGCCGCGUGCGGCUGCAUCGACGAGCAACAGAGGCGAAUGGCGCCAUUGCUGCAUCAUGCUCUCUGCAGUUCGUCGUCAGAAGCUAGCAGCCACCGCCUCGAUCGUGCAUAUGAAAGCAGAGAAGCAGGUAGUCCAUGUCUUCACAGACAUGUCUAUUUCAUCGAGUCUCUCCGGUUGAUCCUUGAGCUCUCUCUACAUAUACUCUAAGAAGUUGAUUUUUUGGGACGGAGGGUGUACAUGAGAAAAGGAAGCCAUGUUGCCCUCAACGUGCAAGGUGUUGGCAAUGGCGAAAACUGAGCAAAUUGCUUCAAGAAGUGGUUGCAUUUGCUGGUGAGGUGCAUCAACAAGGUGGCCUCACUCAUCAAGCCAUCACCUCUGUCAUGUACAUCGUAGUGGAGCAGAAGGUGACUAUUGUGAUUGUCAUACAUAUUGCAUUCACGGCCUGCAUAUGAGGAAGAUGAAAUUGAGGAUAAACUGCAUAAUUUCAAUAUUCUUCAGAUUUUCCCUGUAUUAGCUAAUAGUAAUUAACGAUUCGGAUCUAUUGUCCUCUACAGCGACACGAAAAAAAUCACAUGAACAUCAAAAGAUGUCGACUGAUGAUUGGUAAAUGAUGACACUCCUACCCUCUUUAAAGAAAAGUCAAAAACAAAUCAUCACAUUAGUUAGUUUUUCAUUUAAUAUGUCGGGAUCCUAUCUCUCAAUGUGUAAAGUGUUAUAUACUCACUAUAGUAUUUCCAAAAAAUUCAAAAAUAGUGUUAUUUGUACGUCUUUACGGAUAUGGGGUGUGGGUGGUAGGAAGUGACUAGAAG
This is a long non-coding RNA of Oryza sativa Japonica Group (Japanese rice), 819 nucleotides long. RefSeq lists it as uncharacterized. The record is from RefSeq and is a predicted model, not a curated record. NCBI's taxonomy places the organism in Eukaryota, Viridiplantae, Streptophyta, Magnoliopsida, Poales, Poaceae.